Sapajus apella (tufted capuchin) is the source of this 101-nucleotide long non-coding RNA. RefSeq lists it as uncharacterized. The record is from RefSeq and is a predicted model, not a curated record. Lineage: Eukaryota; Metazoa; Chordata; Mammalia; Primates; Cebidae. The transcript is spliced from 3 exons.
GUUAAAACCUAAGAAAAACACGUUAGCCUAGUCCUACAAAUGGUCAGGAUUAUCGAUAUCACUGUCUUCCAUCUCCACAUCUUGCCUCACUAGAAGGCAUC